This 508-nucleotide ribosomal RNA is filed under the name uncultured bacterium. Its description in RNAcentral is "partial 16S ribosomal RNA". It matches the Rfam family "Bacterial small subunit ribosomal RNA", at positions 30 to 523 of the family's 1533-position model. The record is from RNAcentral.
AUUGAACGCUGGCGGCAUGCCUUACACAUGCAAGUCGAACGGCAGCGGGGGAGAAGCUUGCUUUUCCUGCCGGCGAGUGGCGAACGGGUGAGUAAUACAUCGGAACGUGCCCUGUAGUGGGGGAUAACUAGUCGAAAGAUUAGCUAAUACCGCAUACGACCUGAGGGUGAAAGUGGGGGACCGCAAGGCCUCAUGCUAUAGGAGCGGCCGAUGUCUGAUUAGCUAGUUGGUGGGGUAAAGGCCUACCAAGGCGACGAUCAGUAGCUGGUCUGAGGGGACGAUCAGCCACCCUUGGACGGAGACACGGCCCAGACUCCUACGGGAGGCAGCAGUGGGGAAUUUUGGACAAUGGGCGAAAGCCUGAUCCAGCAAUGCAGCGUGUGUGAAGUAGGCCUUCGGGUUGUAAAGCACGUUUGUCCGGAAAGAAAUGGCUCUGGUUAAUACCUGGGGUCGAUGACGGUACCGGAAGAAUAAGGACCGGCUAACUACGUGCCAGCCGCCGCCGUAA